This 466-nucleotide long non-coding RNA is filed under the name Polistes fuscatus (common paper wasp). Its description in RNAcentral is "uncharacterized LOC122526138". The record is from RNAcentral. Lineage: Eukaryota; Metazoa; Arthropoda; Insecta; Hymenoptera; Vespidae.
CGAAAGGGUCGUCGUUUCGGCUGCGCCGCCGUUUUGGUACGGUCGAUCGUGGCGCCGCGUAGCGGCAUUUUCUUGAAAUGUUCGAUUGUUCAUUGGAAGAAGGGACAGUGCGCCCUGACUCCGCGGUACGGGCUGAACUUUGAAAGCAUGCUUGGUCUUUGCAACCCUUCCGUAUCUGCUUCUUCGUCGCAUGCACGGUGUCUCGUUUCAAAACGAUGAAUGAAAGGGUAUACGUACGCGCGCGAAAAUUACCUUACGCGAUUCUUAACAUUUAUUGGACUCAAUUAAACAAAUUAGUUGCGACCAUUUGAAAAAUUUUAUCUCAAUAAUUCCGCGAUUAAAAUUACAAACUUUAACAUCUCGAUGCUUUAAUUAAUCAUCAGUCAGUUUUUUUAUUUCUUUCAAUUUAUAUCGAGAAUUUGAAGAACGAGAAGGAUACGAAUCGAAAGAUAAAAAUAAACAAAAA